RNAcentral lists this transfer RNA (71 nucleotides) under Ictidomys tridecemlineatus (thirteen-lined ground squirrel). RNAcentral's name for it is "Spermophilus tridecemlineatus (thirteen-lined ground squirrel) tRNA". It matches the Rfam family "tRNA". From Rfam's summary of the family: Transfer RNA (tRNA) molecules are approximately 80 nucleotides in length. Their secondary structure includes four short double-helical elements and three loops (D, anti-codon, and T loops). The record is from Rfam by way of RNAcentral. Lineage: Eukaryota; Metazoa; Chordata; Mammalia; Rodentia; Sciuridae.
GUUGUUGUGACUCAGUGGUAGAGCGCUCACCUAGCAUGUGUGAGGCCCUGGGUUCGAUCCUCAGCACCACA